This 350-nucleotide unclassified non-coding RNA is filed under the name soil metagenome. RNAcentral's name for it is "partial contains 5.8S ribosomal RNA, internal transcribed spacer 2, and large subunit ribosomal RNA". The stretch from base 1 to 120 matches the Rfam family "5.8S ribosomal RNA", at positions 35 to 154 of the family's 154-position model. The record is from RNAcentral.
GAUGAAGAACACAGCGAACUGCGAUAAGUAAUGUGAAUUGCAGAAUUCAGUGAAUCAUCGAGUCUUUGAACGCACAUUGCGCCCCCUGGCAUUCCGGGGGGCAUGCCUGUCCGAGCGUCAUUGCUGCCCUUCAAGCCCGGCUUGUGUGUUGGGUCGUCGUCCCCCCCGGGGGACGGGCCCGAAAGGCAGCGGCGGCACCGCGUCCGGUCCUCGAGCGUAUGGGGCUUUGUCACCCGCUCGAUUAGGGCCGGCCGGGCGCCAGCCGGCGUCUCCAACCUUCUAUUUUACCAGGUUGACCUCGGAUCAGGUAGGGAUACCCGCUGAACUUAAGCAUAUCAAUAAGCGGAGGA